CAGCAGCCGCGGGAAUACGAAGGGGGCUAGCGUUGUUCGGAAUUACUGGGCGUAAAGGGCGCGUAGGCGGCCAUUCAAGUUAGAUGUGAAAGCCCUGGGCUCAACCUAGGAAUUGCAUUUGAUACUGUUUGGCUUGAGUUCGGGAGAGGUGAGUGGAAUUCCCAGUGUAGAGGUGAAAUUCGUAGAUACUGGGAAGAACACCAGUGGCGAAGGCGGCUCACUGGACCGACACUGACGCUGAGGCGCGAAAGCGUGGGGAGCAAACAGGAUUAGAUACCCGCGUAGUCCCUGUCUCUUAUAU
This 301-nucleotide ribosomal RNA is filed under the name uncultured bacterium. Its description in RNAcentral is "partial 16S ribosomal RNA". It matches the Rfam family "Bacterial small subunit ribosomal RNA", at positions 509 to 809 of the family's 1533-position model. The record is from RNAcentral.